CUUUAAUGAUCUAAUAUCUGAGCAUCUGCAAGGAAAUGAACAGAAACAAAUGCUCAAAAUGACAUGAUGAGUACCUGUUGUGGAGCACUAUAUUCAGGAUGGGACAGAGGAAUCAGAGUCUGAGAACUGCUUCCUUGUGAAGAAGGAACCUGUGUCUGAUCAGGACAAAGAACACAACAGACAUGAAACCAGAAACCAAGCUUUUCAAAUAAUCCAUUAUUUAUAAUGAUGUCUGAAAAACAAAUAAUCCCAAAGAUGACCGACCAGGCUAUGUGGGUGGACAGCAUGCUGUUGAGUAAGCUGGGAAUGAGGGCUGUGUUGUGUGGCAGAGGUCUGAGGUUGCUGCUCAGGCUGCACAGAGCUGUAAGAGGGCAGCACUGGCUGAACAGGAUGAGACUCCAAUGCGGUCAGCGAGUAAUGGCCUUCCAUACCACCAACAGCUGCAGGAUAUACAAAUAAACAAUAGAUCAUGACCCAGCCAUUACAGGUGCUGACGUAACACAAUGAUUCACUAUGUUGCUCACAUGAAGCAGGCGCUCCAGGCUGCUGUUGCAGGUGGUGCUGCUCCCCCUCUGGCUCCUCUGGCUCUAUGGAAACUGGUGUCAAGGUCGACAUGGGGGGCUUUGUGGUGGAGGAGUGAGCAGGAGUGGGCUCGCUGGGAGGCUGCUGCCCCCUUUCCUCUUCCUGCUUCCUUUUCUCCUGUUCUUCCCGCACCAGCUUCCGCUGUUCCCUCUUCCUGCAGAUCAGAGCCACACGGUCCUUUACAGCCUUGGCUAUGGUCUUAUGAUCGCCCUCACACACGUAGCCUGAAUCAACCUGCAAAGUGAAUAUGGAAGAAGGCGAGAAACACAAAAGACAAAGCAAGUCUAAUAAGGAGGCUGGAAAACUAGAAAACUAAACCACAAAGACAAGUCACUGAGAUAAAGGCUGAAAUGUUUCAAGAAACAGCAGGUGCAAUGAGCUUUGCUACCAUCUCCUGUGCCACGUCUUCUGGGACAUCUUUGUGGAGGUCAAAGGAAAACUCAAUGGCCUCAUUAUCCUUGUAUUUCCCUUUGAGCUUCUUAACAUCCUCAAUGCGCAACCAUAGUUUGAUAGCCACCAUCUCCCCAUCAUCCUCUUCAGCAAGCUCGACACGAACCCCUGUCUCUUCCUGAAAAAAGGCGUGGUUCAACAGGUCCUUGAUGGAAUAUCUGGGGGGGAAUCUCUCGUCUUUGUUUUGCCGAAUACACCCUUCGAUGAUCUCUUUGACUUCAGGAAUGGCUACCUUAUCGAAGCUGCCAGGUUUCACUCCCUAUAAAAGUAGAACACAGAAAACAUCCAAAUCAUGCACAGCCUACAAACAGAAUCAAACUCACUUAAUGUCUACCUUUAACGCUAAUCAAUCUUGUGCUAUUUGCAAAAUGUUGGUUUAAAUAUUAAUAAAUAGACAUGUGAUAUAAUUAAUACAUGACUGUAAAAUGGUAAUGUAUGUAUAGUACCAUUUUCCAACACCUGCAUUUUAUAUAUAGAUAGCAAUUAGUGUACGCAGGCUACAAGCUGUAAUAAACAGGUAAUGAAAAAAUUUAACUUCUUAGCACACUGCCAUUUUAUUGGAAUACGCCUGUCAUAUACUCGUCUACUGCCUAAAGCCCAGUUAUGAAUCUAACUUUGGACUGGGCUUUGGAGGUGUUUUCACCAGAGAUACUUUUUCAGGAACUCGUGAACUUUCUGUGCAUUUCCACCCCGAAGAGCCAGGACUAUUCUUAAUUUCUCAAUUAAGUUGCAGAGAAUAUAACACAGCGACUACUGAAGUGAAGUUUGGUAUCUAGCAUGGCACUAACAAAUGAUUAUUAAGAAUAAUUUUAUAAUCAGAAGUUUCCAUGAUACUUUUGUUUUUACAAACGUAUUGCAUCAAAAGCUUGCAGGGGUAUAUUUUGUCACUGUGACAUUUAUACAACAGAUUAAAAAUCAACAGAUAAUGCGCCUUCACUGUCAAAUGUAAACUAACCGCAUUUGGUUGCUGAAUUAACUGCCAUGUGAUCCACACCAUACGCAAUUACUGAUGCUAAAUUUUGUUUCACUUCCUGCCCAAAUACCACAUGAGCCAAUUGAGAUUAAGCCACAGAAAAUAGUCUUAUUAAUUUGUUUUAAGGACUGGUUCACGUUUGUUGUGAGCAACAUAGUUCAGUGGAAAUGUUCAUAUCUCCCUGCAGUUCUGGCUUGGUUUCCCACGGAAUCUAAGCAAGGUUGGGCAUGGCCAGUAGCAGGAUGGGAGACCUCCUGGGGAAAACCAAGGUCUGCUGGAAGUGGUAUUAGUGAGGCCAGCAGGGGGUGCUCACCCUGUGGUCUGUGUGGGCCCUAAUGCCCAAUAUAGUGACCAGGACACCAUACUAUAAAAACAGCACAGUCUUUUGAAGAUGUUAAACCGAGGUCCUGACUCUCUAUGGUCAUUAAAAAUCCCAAGACACUUAUCGUAAAGAGUAGGGGUAUAACUUCCGUGGCCUGGCAAAAUUCCCCCUAAUAAUCCCCAUCUCUGAAUUGGCUACUCUCUUCAGCUGGUGUGUGGUGAGUGUUCUGGCGCACUAUGGCUGUCGUUACACACUAAUGGUGUUUGAGGAGAACCCCCCCCCAAUACUAUAUAAAGUGCUUCGAAUGUCUAGGAAAGUGCUAUGUAACAGUAAUAAUAAUAUUGAUUUCACUUUGGGGUUCUGUAUAUGGUGAUGGCAUAACUAGACUGGAAUUCUUAAAAGCACAACUUACCACUCAUAGAGGGGAAAAAAGAGUGAAGAAAAUGCCUCAUAAAAGGCCAAAAAGGGGAGGAUUUAAAAGAAUGGAGCGAAGGAGAGGGGAGGAGGACGAGCACACAUGGCCCUCUCCUCCAGCAAAAGGAUGGGCACUUACGCUGGUCACUCUGCGAUAGAUCUGUGCCGCAUUCUGGCACUCGGAGUACGGGUACUCAGAAGUAGCCAUCUCCAGCAUACACAUCCCAAAGGCAUAGACAUCCACUGACUCGUCAUACUUCUCCUCAUACAUCUCAGGCGCCAUGAACUCAGGGGUACCUUAAAUCAAAAGAACGGUUCAGAACUCUCUCUCAUUUCCCUAUAACACCUUCUCUGUGAAGAGGAGAGAGGAAGGUGGUGAUGCUGCUGAAGAUGACCUCUCCAGAAACCUGUGAGAAAAGAGAGAGAGAGAGAAGGGAGAGCGAAAAGGGGAUAGAAAGCGAAAAAGAGGAGGAGGGGGGAUAAACUGUUCUCAGUUAGGCUGUCAUGAUAAGAAGCCCAAGUUUCUCAGUGUAAGGCCUUUAGGGCAGGGCUAUGGAAACAAAACUAGAGUACAGAACCUACCAAAAAGCCUGGACUGACCAAAGAAUUCAAGCUCAGUCUGCUGAAGGACAAGGGCUGAGCAUUAAAGUAAAGUUGUUAGGCAUUGGAUAAUGUUUACAAAUGCGGAGUUUAAGACAAAGUCACGUGUUAGCCAAAAAAAUUACUGGGAAAUGUUUGAGGUGAGUCAAUGGUCAGUCAAUAGCCCAGGACUGAUCAUUUAAGAGAAAGCUAAAAUCCAAGCUAUGGAAAGAACUUAGUACAUUUUGUUAGCCUGCUGCAAAUCCCCUUAAAAGGCACUUACCUUUCUGAUACCUGUAAGAAAGUAGAGCAAAUUAAAAUUGCUAAGCAUAAAAUAUUCCAUAGCUAGUCACUGAUUCGUGAGGUUCUGCACACUAGUUUAUGCAGUAAAAAAGCUGCCCAUAAAGCAAAGACCUCACACAGAAAAACUUAUCAUAUUUGGAAUUGAUUUAGAUUUGUAAUGUGUCACUUUGUACUGGUUGACUUACCAGGCCCAUUUUCUGCAUUUACCGCAGUACACUAAAUAAUCCUUAAAGUAGAAUAAGGGAGAUCUGAGGUUAGAGUCUAAAGUUUCCUAAAAUGAUAAAUGGACUCUAAGUCUAUAACUGAGAGGAAAUGAGGAGAGAGAUUAAGGCUUGGAUCUUAAGAAAGACACUGUAAGAAAAAAAAUCAAAACAGAAGAUCUACCCUUGAGAGAGAAAAAUGACAGUUAUUAGCAUCAUCACGCAUUUCAUUGAAGAAACAGACCACUAAUAUCCAAACCACAGGACAAAGAUCAUUCAGAACGGUACCUGAAAGCCCAGGGCUCACCUCUAGCUUUUGUGCUAUCCCUUUGCCAAGAUCGGGUUUGCCUGCAGACAAGCCACAAUACAACUACGCACAUCACUGACAAAAAGAGAGUUAAGAAACUACUUACUCUCUGGAGGAACCUGAAAUAAGGGCCUCUUAAAACACUGAGGAUAAUAUGGAUCAACAAAACAAUUUUGGACCUAGAGGAGGGAGGGAAAUCCCGUGUGGAGAGACAGCGCGAGCGAGAAGCAGGGGCCCUGGUUUGCUGUGGUUUGGGGGCUCACAGAAACACUGUGGUCUGCCUUCGCACCACAAUGUUAAAUCACACUUUUAGAAGCCAAAGAAGAGAAAGAAACGUCAGAAGAGGACAGACUUUCUUCUUCCUGCCAGCAAACCCGCAUAGCGAGUUAACACAAAAAGGACCAAGAAACGGUGUACAUGGUUUACGGGGUCAUACCUAUGACACUCUUGGCAAAAGAAGCCCUCUUGAGAGUGGCGAGGCCCAGGUCGCCGAUCUUGACUGAUCCAGUGGGCCCAGUGAUGAAAAUGUUGUCACACUUGAGGUCACGGUGGAUGAUGGGAGGAGACCUGGUAUGAAGAAAGUGAAGCCCUUUCAGGAUCUGCCGACACCAGCUCCGCAGGACUUUGAUCUUCAUCUCCUUAAACCGCUUUAAAUACCUGCAGAGCAAAACAAACCACCAUCAGCAUGGGUAAGCCAUUUGUUUUUUUAAAACCAAGGACGCUAAUAUUUAAUUUAGACAAAAAUAAAAUUCUGACUAUUUUUGCUGCCAAAAUAUUUUCCUGCUGAAUCAUUUCGUAUCUAGAGAGGCCACAACUUAUUUAAAACUGUGCACUUACGUCUUUAAAGUGCCAGAUGUCAUGAGCUCAGUCACCAGCACUAUACAUUUCCUCCCUUUGCAGGGAGCCUCCCAGGAAUCAUAGAAGCGCACAAUGUUGGGGUGCUGCAGGCCCUUCAGCAUGCCAGCUUCCUCCUUGAAGCGCUGUCGCUCUGAUUUGGACAACUUGCGGUCCUGAAAGGCAUUUUAAACGUGACAUUGCAAGAUAAGUGUGUGUAGGUGUCCUCUAAAUUGAAUGCUUGGCAAUGUUAAACAAAUACUGCCAACUAUUUAAUACAAACAGAAUACUUUAUGUGGUCUGAAACAUAUACAACAUCUGAAUAGUAUAAACACACUUGAAAUAGUGCUAAAUUCCCACCAACUGCAAGCUCCCCCAGUAUGACCUACUUUUCACUAUGAGGUUACCCACAAUUCCUGGAAUGAGAAACAUCCAGCUUCUGGAGGUCCUCCAAAAGCACCAUCCCCCCAAAGCUAAUAGUAUUACUCCUCGCCCCCAGUCCUAUUUUACACCGUCUUUACAAUGACUUCAAACAAUUGAACCCAGUGGAGAGGCAGCCCACUCAGUAAAAUAUGAAAAGCUCCUGGGACUCGUAAUACUGUUGACAGAAGAAAGGGAAUAUGCACAGGUUUUUAGUUUGGGUAUGUAAAGGAAUCAUGAAGUAGAGCAAGGGAAUAAUUUGCAUAUAUGUGUGCACAUAAUAUUACCACAAUACCGCUAAAAAAAAUAUUAAAUCCUAGUAAUAUUACAGUAAUCCUAAGGUUCUCAUCAAAACAUUUUUUCAAAAAUUUUAAACAGUUUUUCAUUUACUCCCUAAUUUGAUAAUUUGCCAAGUCCCACCCACCAGCCAACUUCCCCUUAUCACACAAACAACUAUCAACUGGGCAGGCUGAAGGACAUGUGCCGUCUCCGUGAGGCCAGCCAUUAUAUGAUUUUGAAUUGCUGCUCAUGCUGUCACAGGGCAGCACAACAUACUCUGAGGAAAGGGCUAUCGACCCUCUUCCACAUGCCCACGUACUUCUCAGAUGUCCACGAUGGCCUACUGUGAUCGAAAGUGGAGAGAGAAAUGCCAUCUCUCACACCCAGAGAGCAUGGCCAAUUUUGCUCUCUAGACUAACGGGCACGGGAUUGCAGCGCCAAUGUCAGGAAUCUAAAUCACGAUCUGCCAAAUGCUUUUCUGUUGCAUGAUACGAGAGCUCAGUUUUAGAAUUUUAAAAUGGUCCACUGCUGACUAGUGUGACCAAAACAGACAAAAGAAACUCCACUGUCCUUUCCCUGCUUGAACAGCAGUGAACGUGUCUAUUCAAUACACAGUAUUUGUGCUGCAUUGGUCUGCUGCAUUGGGUUGUACUUUGCACAUCUUUGCACAGUACUAAAGUAGAAAAUAUGCUUCAAUUUUUACGCAUACGCCAAGAACAGCAUACAGUAUGCGUGACGCAAAUUCCGUCAUCAGCAGAGUACACACACCGCCCGAUUUUUCUAACCGCACGUACUUUGCACAGGUCACACAUGCGCAUUUAAUUCUUUUGCACCAUUUAGUUGCUCCAAAAGGUGGCAACAGUGACCCAGGGCCAUUGAAUCUCAAGGUAGAUGAAGAAAAAAACAGAAGAGAUGGAAAUGAUUGCAGGUUAUAAAGCAUUUGUAUAAUUCUAGCCUUAAAGAGUAUAAGGACUUGUACAUGGGUGCUAAUUGUGGUGAGAGAUUGCCCAAGCAUUGUUCUUUGUGUUUUUGUGGUGAUUCUUCGUUGUCACCCUUCACACCAAAACACCUGCUUUACUGCUCUGUACUGACAGAGCCAGGAGGGGUACUGCAAGUUGUCGUAAUGCGCAUGCGUGACCACCUGUGUACGUGUACAUGUCAAAAGGAGUAUACUUAAGAUUAUGCAUACGACAGUGCGCAUACACUAGCGGGCAUGUAAAAAAAUAUAUAAUAAUAAAACGAAUAAACGAAGUGUACCAGAGGCUUAAGAAGUUAAUCUGUUUUUGAAUCAAUUUGUAUAGAUAAACAAAUAAAAGAUGACAUUUUAAAUCUGAUUAUUUUCUUCUUGUGAGUUUCUUCAAUGACAAUGAAUAACUUUGGUUGUUUAUGUGAUGAAAGUGCACAAUUGCAAGCAUGUUGCUGAUGUUCUUUCUGUAUAAAACACUACAGUUCUGUGGCACAUGAACCUACUGUGUAUUAAUGUUCAAGUUUAUUCAAAUACUAAACCUUUUUAAUAUUUAAAGUUCUUACACAAGUUAAUAUGGAUAAGCUAUAGGUGUGGCAUGUAUUUAAACUUCUUACGGUGCUUUUAUAUUACGUAUCUUUCCUAAAAUCAGAUAACGCACCCUUGAGAGCAAAGCAUUCAGAGCAACACAAUACACUGGAAUAUGGAAAUAUAAUUUUUUUCCCCCCUUCACCCUGACAGGCAACACUACUAAUGCAAAAUUAUUUCUUUCGCUAUUGACCUAACAUGACAACUAUCAGACUUGCAACAGAGGCACUGGGUAUAAACACGAGGAAUGUCUUAACGUUUAAUUUCAGUAGUUAUUUAAAAUCCAAACCACUUUGGAAGGACAAAAAGCACUUCUUCAAAAGACAACAGAAGUGAAACUGUUUAUAAACUUUUCCUGUGCUCAGACCUAAAUAUUAUUCAAGCGUGUCAUGUGCGAUAUGAGCUACAGGAUGGAAGGAUGCCAGUGUUCUGCACAAGCAGUGCAUGUAUUUUUGCCUUCUGGUACUGAUGUCUAUUCAUUUUAGUGCAACUUUGCUACAUAUCAAAGGAAACGGUAGACAAAAUGACACGACAGAACAAAAAAAAUAGAAAGAAAGACAGGAAGAGUGGGAGGGGAAGAAAAGAUGAGAGGGCGCAAGAAAUAAGAGCCUCAGAGAAAGCAGAGUGUGAGAGAACAUGUAAAAAGAGUGAGAGUGAAAGAGAUACUGACGCUUUUGUUUCAGUGCAUUUUCCAAACUGGCUCAACCUGAAGGCUGUUUGCAGCAGAGCUGCAGCUCACGUGACCACAUGCAAUGUCCUGUCAUCACCCAGCAGCAACAGCAAUAAGAAGGCGGGGUAGAGAGGGCAAAGGCAAGCCUUGACAAGCCACAGAGCUGCUGCUCACAUUGACGAGAAGAGACUCUGACCCACUUUCCCAACAUGCACUAGUGUAUUACAUUGACAGAGUAAAACUUCUCACAAGUGUCUAUUACAUUUCCUCUCUUAACCCCUUCAAAACGAAAGGAGGAAACAGGAUGUCAAUAAAGGCAAAUAGCGAGAAGUGGGUCACAAGUUAAUGUUACCAGCAGCAGGAUGUUGCCCUGUGGUCUGCAGCGUCACUUUAGCAUUUAUGAGAAUCAUCCUGCUUGCAUUAUCAGCAUUAUAUAGUUCUGUGAUUACUAGUCUCCAUUUCCAGUAUAACUACAGAAAAUAAAUGUUAACACAGUCUGUGUUGAUAUCAGGUGCCAUCAUGAAAGAGAAAAGACUACUUCUAUCAAGACUAUCGAGUCACAAUUUUCCUGGUAAUACUCUAAGCUACUUAAAAUAUGUCACGGCUAUAUUUUUUUGUCUUGGAAUAUAUAGGAAUAAGUAUGAGUACACACUCUAGAUAGGAGUACCUCAAAAAAACAUUAUUUGAAGAUUAAUAUUUUUAAAAUGUGCUAUUUCAAUAUUUUGGAAACAGACAUCCAAAUGUAGCAAAACAUUAAGUAAGCAAUAACAACAUUUAAAUAAAUGAAAGAAUUUUAAAAAAUGAAAUAUUUUAAACAAUUCCUAUGCAUUCUUCAUUUCACACAUCAAACACAAACAGAAAUCCCCAAGCUGAAACAGCAGAACAGAGCUCAAAUGGCACAAAAAUGACUUACCUGCAGUUCACACCAUGCCACCUCCACAGUCGUCUCUGUAUCCAAUCCUUUAUACACUGUCUUGAAUGAACCACGUCCAAUCUCAAUGUCAAACUUCAAAAUCGGCCAUCGGGUGAAGUUCCGACAGCCUUCGUCUCCACCUCCUCUAUGUCCUCUGGGUCCUUCUUCUCAGUCCCACGCUGUUGCCCUGAAUCCACACGAGCCUUCGUCUUGGCUUCUUCAUCUUCCUCCUUAUCAUUUUCCUGUUUUGUGCCUACACUACUGCCAGACUCCUGCUCCGAUGUCUUGCUGUGUGGCUCCAGACACGUUUCCUUCUUUGUCUCCACAACCUGACUGGCUGAAACCACGGGCCUCUGCUCUUCAACCAUCUCCUCGUGGACUUCAUCUUUCACUCCCUCCACCUUCUCAACGACGGGCCCAUCAGCCACCACAAGGAUCUCAGUCUGAGCAGUAGUUUUAAUCUCACUAACAUUAAGAUCGGUGGAAGAGGCUGAAAAAUCCGGUUGCACAUCCAGGGAAAAGAUUUUGCUAGGAAGCUCCAAAGCUGUGGCGUUCGAGUCACAAAUAACACUACGCCGGACAAAUCGGUGCUCAGCUUUCGAGUCCCGCUCCAUGGUGUGGUGCCGGCGUCGGACUUCAGGACCAAUCCUUUCACCCAACUGCGUGUCCGAGUUGGAGCCAGCAGUGUUCUUUGAAGCAGGGGACAGGAACUUAACCAUCUUGUCUCUAAAACUUUCAGACAUAUCUCCACUCACAGAGUGAAGAGACACUCAAAGGCUAGAUCACUUCCAUACACUUAAAUAAAUGUACUGAAAAAUACUAAAAGGCUAAUUUGCUAUGUUUUUGGGUGAUCACUCAAAUGAAGUCAAUGCUCUUACAAACUAAAGGGCUUGAGUAAAGCACUGAUAGAGCACUGGGAUUGAAGGAGGGAGAGACCAGUUCACAGCCCACAUGUUCACAUGAUAACAAUGCACAAGGGCUUUUAAACUUCGGUCAUCCAUUGUACGGGGAAAUGUAGGCUGUGUUCAACAUAAGGUGUGACGUAAAAAGGCAAGGCUGUAAUACUUGACGUGCGCUUUUAAGCCAGAAGGAUGCACAAGGUUCGAAACGUGAUCCAAGCUUCUGUUUCACUGUAACAACACAAAGUAAAGUUUAUAGUAUUGAGAAAACAUAAUACUACUAAUAAGUGUAAAUUAUACAGCACUUUUCUCAAACUCAAUAUCACUUUACAGAGACCAAGAGUAAGCAAACAGAGGAGUGGGCUAACGUGUGCAUCACUGUAGUAUUUCUGGGAUUUCAGUCCCAUCUGAUUCGGUCAUGUUAGUAUUAUUUACAGACCACGUGUUCUGCAUCUGAACGUAUUACACUAUCUUUUACCUUCUAGAGAAUGACCGGUAGAACGAACCCCAGGUGAUAUGCCAUAAUCUUUGUGAACACGUCAAUUUAGACCGGAGAUAUUAUUGAUUCAGAACAUGUCUGAAUUGACAUGUUCACAAAGAUAAUGUCAUAUCUUGUUGGAGGAGAGAUUUUACACGUUCUCUUCUAGAACAAUAAAAAAAAUAUAUAGUAGACUUUCGGCGAGUUCAUAGAACAGACACAGCCAUGUGUAACCAUACAACAAUCACUUUUGAUUAAAAUGUUGAAACCAACAGGUUGAAUUAAAAUGAGGUGUACACGUACAGUAGCAGGCACAGAAUUUUCAUGUAACAUCAAUGAGUACAUCCUGAACACACACCCAUCUCUGAUACAGAAAAAUCACUUCAACUGUGAACAGAUCAUAAUUACUCAGGUGUCCUCCGGCAAUAUGACUUCAUAGAUAUGUCUGUAAAGCUUAUCAGUCCAAACAAUACUAACAAAACCAAAUAAUCCUCACAUAAAUUCAUACAUGCAUCUGGCACAACAAGAAAUAAUGAGAGCAGCUGAGGAAUGAGGUACACAGAGGUGUCAGAAAACAGAGAUAAUGUAUAGGAGAGGAGCUGCUUAGUUAUUGUCCAGAGACUGAGACACACUCUGAAAAGCUGUUUUGACUGAAUUUCUCCUCUGUACUCACACGAGCCAAAAAAUACACCAACAAAUAAAGCGACAUCACAAUUUUUAACAAUAUUGAUAUUGAUUAAGCUACACUGAUUGUAACGUAGAAACUCAGCUUUACAAAGUAACCAUCAUUAAGAGGCUAACAUUAAUUGUAGGACUUCAAAAAAAAAAAAAAAAAAAGAGUUGGACACAGCCACAUGAAUCAGCUGUUAGAUGACAUUAGCAAUCACAAACAUCCACUUAGCGGAUGUGGUGGCUACAAAGUUACCCAAAUCCAUCGUUCGCUUAAAUCCGAUUACUAAUACAGGUCAUGUCAAACCAGAUCGUAAAUAAUUCAGAUUUACCCGACCACGCAGGCCAACAUUAACCAGUUAAGUUCAAAAUGACUGCUGUGAGCUUGGCUAGACUUGCUAAUUAGGCACCUCUAGCUAAGGCUGACGUUCGAUUAAUGACCAUCACUAACUCGUCUUUAAGGAACUGUUUUUCACUUCACAAUUGUUUCUGUAAAUAUAUAUAUAUUAAUACGUCUCUUGUUACAGAAAACAAUUAUAAUACUGCAGCUGCUUUUCUGUUCUUUUCUGCUCUCUCUACAACGCAAGCUGGCUAACGCCAACAUUAACAGCUCGCUGUCGCUAACUGACGUUACUCAAAUCAAAUACAGUUAGCCAGAGCUGCUAACUGGGGAUAUUUUGAGGCACAAAGUGUCGUGAUUAAACUCAAUUCAUACGGUUUACAGAGACACUUUCAUAAAACAAGAUAUUUUUUAUUUAUUGUUUUUUUAAACACACUCACCGAAAUGAUGUGCAUCGUCAUCCUCGAUUAUCUACAGUUUCUCUGGACACCGCGCGCGCGCAACGCCGAAACUCCCUUAGCUAGCGAGCGAGCUAAUCACCGGGUUAGUUAUAACGUUUGAAAUGACUCAUAUUUUGAGUCAUACUGCUAUGUUUAUGCGCGGAUGUAUUCGUUUACCGUGCCUGGAUACCUCUGUAAAGAACGACAGAUUCGAGAACGACAGAUUCGAGAACAACUCGCCGCGAGCAGCCGACAAACCGAACGACAAAGUUCAAAACGUCAACGUGCAAAAAUCACGCGCCUUCUCGCGAGAUUUCCGGACAUGCACGCGGACUCUUUGUUGUAGGUUUUUAUCGGUUUAAUUUCCUUGUUCAACUGGUUAUCAAUGAAAAAACUAAUGCAAACGAGUCCCAUGGUCUUAAUAAACGAACACACCAGACAAAGUCCAUUCCUGUGCUAUCCCGUACACGAGCUAGUGUUUUGUUGUUGUUGUAACAAAAAAGCGCCUUUGUUACUUAUUGCAGCUGGUCCCUGAAUCAAACGAUUUCCACUCGACGGACAUAAUUUGGAUUUAUGGACACACAAACGGGCGUUUUAUUGUUUUUCCAUCUCAGUGCAACACCAUAAAACACAGCCGACAAAAGAACAAUCCGCAUUCUCCUCUCUCUUCCCCCGAGGCAGCCCAAAAUAGCCUCAUAACGCAGUGUGGACACGAGCGCCCCCUCCCGCACAGAG
Molecule: long non-coding RNA, 12359 nt
Organism: Ictalurus punctatus (channel catfish)
Lineage: Eukaryota; Metazoa; Chordata; Actinopteri; Siluriformes; Ictaluridae
Source: Ensembl